GACGAACGCUGGCGGCGUGCUUAACACAUGCAAGUCGAACGGCAAGGCACUGCUUUUGUGCGGUGCUCGAGUGGCGAACGGGUGCGUAACACGUGAGUAACCUGCCCUUGACUUUGGGAUAACUUCAGGAAACUGGGGCUACUACCGGAUAGGAGCUCCUGCUGCAUGGUGGGGGUUGGAUAGUUGCGGCGGUUGGGGAUGGACUCGCGGCUUAUCAGCUUGUUGGUGGGGUGGUGGCUUACCAAGGCUUUGCCGGGUAUCCCGCCUGAGAGCGGGACCGGCCACAAGGGGACUACGAGAGGCCGCAGACGGCAACGGUGGGCAGCAGUGGGGAAUAUUGCACAAUGAGCGGGAGUCUGAGACAGAAGCGCCGCGGGCGGGAAGACGGCCUUCGGGUUGAAAACCGCUGUCGCCUGAGACGAAGCGGUAGUGACGGUAAUGAAAAAAGAAGCACCGGCUAACUACGUG
Molecule: ribosomal RNA, 468 nt
Filed under: uncultured bacterium
Lineage: Bacteria
Description: partial 16S ribosomal RNA
Rfam family: Bacterial small subunit ribosomal RNA
Source: RNAcentral